GUUUAAGUAGUUUAAUUAAGAAUAAUAAUUUGUGGUAUUAUUGGUAUAUUUAUAUCUUAGGCU
This 63-nucleotide transfer RNA is filed under the name Scotomedes sp. HL-2012. RNAcentral describes it as "tRNA-His". The record is from RNAcentral. Lineage: Eukaryota; Metazoa; Arthropoda; Insecta; Hemiptera; Velocipedidae.